AUUUAUAUUUAUAUUUAUAUUUAUAUUUAUAUUUAUAUUUAUAUUUAUAUUUAUAUUUAUAUUUAUAUUUAUAUUUAUAUUUAUAUUUAUAUUUAUAUUUAUAUUUAUAUUUAUAUUUAUAUUUAUAUUUUAUACUAAAUAUAUAUUUAUAUUUAUAUUUAUAUUUUUAUUUAUAUUAAGCCAAUGGCAUUUUUUAAAUAAUAGUUACCGCAUAAUUAUUUCAAGCUGCAAUGCAUGCUGGGAACUCAAAUCUGCGUUCUGUUUGCUACCUCAAUUUAAAUUCCGUUCAAAUUCAGAAACUGAAUUUGUGUGCAGGUGGAGUUCCCUGUAGCAGCAGUAAUCAGGAGCACCCAGGGCUUUCUGGAGCUUCGAGCCUCUCUACCACUCCCAUCCGUCUCCCUGCCGAAUUCUUCCACCCAGCUGCAGCGGCCCUCCCCGCACCCCCGAGAGGCCGACCGGGACACAAACCAAGAGGGCUUCGGCUAACUUCCCCAGCCUCAUGGGCGUCUCUACGCUCUCCUGGCGCAAACACCAGGCUGCUUACCACACAGUAUCCAUCUCACAGUGACUCCUCCCUGGCUACGGGGAGCUCAGAGAGCAGCCUACUGACCACCAUGGAAGAAGGGCUCAGUUUCAACGUAUCCACCACCCAGCCGCUGCUGGACACACUCCUCGACGAUCGCGCCAGCCUCUCCACGGAGACCCUGAGACCCAGUCCUCCAGCUACCCAGAACCUCCAAACUACGAGGGGACACCAGCGCAGCAAGAGCAGCUGUGAAACGGACAUCAGUGCAGGAAGAACUCGGCAAGGCUCCGAUGAGGAUGUAGGGAUGGUACGGUGCAACUCUAACCAGACGUGUGACAGCCAGCAGCUCUCAGAGACACCAAGCAGCCUGUCGCUGACGUCGCUGCUUCUGCCGAGCUCUCUAGCACCCCCGUCUGUGAAAAAGUGCAACAGCACGGGCAGCUUAGACCAUGGGACUCUCACAACCCAAGAAAAAGUGUUCAUAAAAGAGCCAAAGGGUAAAAUCACCAGCCCCUGGAAAGAAAGUAAAGAAGCAAGAAGAAAGAGUCAGUCGGAGGCAGCACAAGGAAAAGACGGGGAAAGUACAAGCCAAAUAACAAUUGUGGGCUCCAGGAGAAAUAGAUGA
This is a long non-coding RNA of Cyprinus carpio (common carp), 1151 nucleotides long. NCBI's taxonomy places the organism in Eukaryota, Metazoa, Chordata, Actinopteri, Cypriniformes, Cyprinidae. The record is from Ensembl.